CAAGAAUGGGCUGCCAUCAGUCAGGAUGUGGCCCAGAAGUUAAUUGACAGCAUGCCAGGGCGGAUUGCAGAGGCCUUGAAAAAGAAGGGUCAACACUGCAAAUAUUGACUCUUUGCAUCAACUUAAUGUAAUUCUCAAUAAAAGACUUUGAAACUUAUGACAUGCUUGAAAAUUGCCUGUUAUAUUAAAUUAAGUAUAAUAAAUCAGAUUGUUUAUAUGAAUAAACACUGUUACUUUAUUUGGCCCUUUACUGUUACUUUAAUUGGCAUUUGUCUUAAUUUGACUUCUUGAGAUGGAAAAACUUGUUUUUUUAUCUAGUGUGUUAUGAACGUGUUCUCUUUAUGACAGAAUAUAAACUUUUUUGCAUGGAACGACCCAGCUAUAUAACAUUUGCUGGUAAGUUGGUGAGGUUUUUGUUUAUGUUGUUGUAUAUAUUACUGUCUGAGAUUUAGCCUGGACGAUCCACAUUCUAUAAUUCACAUAGGCUGUGUUUACACAUGCAGCCUAAUUCUGAUCUUCUGCCCAAUUAUUGGCAAAGAGCCGAUCUGAUUGUUCAAAAGCCCAAUUAGUGGAGAAAGAUAAGAAUUGGGCUGCUUGUGUAAACACAGCUGAAGUAAUGACUUUGAUUUGGAGCCCAUCCAAGACAGGAUGUUAAAAUCAUGUCUUCUCACAUAACUCGACAGGCCCAGAUCCAGUGCACAGCAGGUGUCAGAGACGGUACAUAUGUCAGCAGCCCGUAAAUCAAACGUGUCUCCUCUAUAACCAUCAUUAUAACCAUUUUCCCCCUAUGGAACCUCAGCAGGACCCUCACCAGUGCCCACUGUCCUUGUACACUAAACAUUCCUACGCUGGUCUAACAUCAGAUUGUAUUAUUAGCCUAUAUUUUAGCGUUGUUAUAGUCAACUAGCAAAUGUUUCUUCACUUUUUGGUGUUUUGUGGGGCUCCAAACCCUGCUGCUGGGCAUUAGAAUAUAAAUUAAACUCUUCUACACAUUUCCCUCUCUAGGACUCCCACGGCACAAACAGACUAUAUGGACAAGAAGCUCUAAAAUCCUCCAGUCUAAAUCUUCCUUAGUGUGUCGCCCCUCCCAGACAGGUGAUGAGGGAGGUCAGUGUGGUGCCCUCCUACCCGGUGACCCCUGGCCAACCAGGUGGGGGAGGAACAGCUACACAGGAACUGAGGAAGACCAUCAGUCUAUCUGAGGAGUGCAGUAAUUAUGUAUCAAUGUCCAUCCCUCAGCAAAACCAAGAUCAUUCAUUUUUAGACAUUAAAGAUGAUUGUUCAUUAAACAGUGGACUUUCGGUGAAUCACCCUAAGAAUUCAAUAUUAGGACUUAAAACCACAAAUAUGUACAGUAAAUAUUUGCCUGAGCACAAUUAGCUUCCAUGUGGUACAAUGCUUUGUUUGAUCGCAGGAAAUGUGUUCAUUACAUAUUCUGUGGACACAGCCAGUGAGUUUUUUACCUUUGUGAAGUUUCUGACAGAUCAGCGCUUUAAACCAGCUGUAAGUUUUCUGUUUUAUUUUAUUCACCCACUCUUUGAAAUGUCUAUUCAAACAUACUUCCUCUCUCUGGCAGACUAACAUCUUUGAUAGCACGGUUAGAAGAAUGGACAUCAACAAGUGGUUGGACAGCUUUGUAAAGAAUAAGUCAGUGCUGAUCAUCGUGGUCAUCAGUCCCAAGUACAAGGCAGACGUGGAAAGAGAUGGAGAGGAUGAGCAUGGUCUCCACACAAAGUUCAGAUCCAGAAUGAGUUCAUCCGACAGCGCUGCCUUCAUUUAAAACUGGUACCGGUAUUGUUUCCCACCUCUACGAAGAGAUAUGUUCCUGCCUGGCUUCAGAGCACCAGGAUACACCACUGGCCCCCCUCUGGAACGCUACAUUGGCCCCCCUCUGGGGAAAGAGCUGACCCUCUCCGUACGACACCUGUGACAUCUCUGAGAACUGCUGAAGACACAUUAUGUUGUGGUGCUUCAUAGAUUUCAAUGUUUAUAUGGAAAUUUAGUAAAUGCUUUUUUUUUUUUUUUUACUAAACUGAACCGGUGUGGGAGUAGUGGUGUAUCUCAGCACUACUCUCAAAUAGCCACAAGGUGGCAGUAUUUACUUUCUGAUGUUUCAAGUCCUAGACUUGCUAAGGUGGUAAUGGGUUACUCCUGACAUUGUGUGGUCCUAAUAAUAUGUGAUCUGAAGAUGUAUUCUAUUAAUAAAUGAAAGUAAUAAGAGCUUGUUGACUGUGAGGUUGUUGAUUUGCCAUGAUAAACAUGUUUACAUUGUUGCCUAUACUACAUAGUUACUACGGUAAUACCCAGUACAACGUCAAGGUCUCACAUUUUUGUGGGUAAUACCAGAUAAGUAGAACAUGGUGUACAGGUGGAUUUAGUGGCCUAAAGGUUAGCAUGUAUGAUAUUUGUUGACGAUAUUUGUGCGUCUGUAACUAUCCGUAAUAAUGGUAGCAUCCACAUUAAUGUGGAAAUGUUUAGAAACAUGUUCUAUUCUCAUUUACAAUAAAAGUGACUCCAAAAUUACACAAUACAUUAUUUGCCAUUAAUUUAUAUUGGGAAAAACAUAAUCUGCACAAAAAGUGGUGUAAUUUCUUAACGGUUCACCCGAUAUGGAUGACAA
Oncorhynchus mykiss (rainbow trout) is the source of this 2620-nucleotide long non-coding RNA. RefSeq lists it as uncharacterized. NCBI's taxonomy places the organism in Eukaryota, Metazoa, Chordata, Actinopteri, Salmoniformes, Salmonidae. The record is from RefSeq and is a predicted model, not a curated record.